This 253-nucleotide ribosomal RNA is filed under the name uncultured bacterium. RNAcentral describes it as "partial 16S ribosomal RNA". It matches the Rfam family "Bacterial small subunit ribosomal RNA", at positions 524 to 776 of the family's 1533-position model. The record is from RNAcentral.
GACGGAGGGUGCAAGCGUUAUUCGGAAUUAUUGGGCGUAAAGAGCGUGUAGGCGGCCGGUUAAGUCAGGUGUGAAAGCCCGGGGCUCAACGUCGGAAGUGCACUUGAAACUGGUCGGCUUGAGUUCGGGAGAGGGAAGCGGAAUUCCGGGUGUAGAGGUGAAAUUCGUAGAGAUCCGGUGGAACAUCGGUGGCGAAGGCGGCUUCCUGGACCGAAACUGACGCUGAGACGCGAAAGAGUGGGGAGCAAACAGG